CCCGAAAGAUCGAAUGGGGAGAUUCACCGUCAGCGCGGUUGGCUCUCGCCGCGGGCUUGAUGCCCGGCCGGCGGGCGGGUACCUUCACGGGUCCCGUUCGUCGGCGCACUCGUCCGUGCGGAUGUCCGGCCACGUCGGCGUGCACUUCUCCCCUAGUAAAACGUCGCGACCCGCUGGGUGUCGGUCUACGGGCCCGUGCCAUUAGGCUGUCGCGGGCGCUUCACGGCGCCCGUUGUCAGAGGCGCGGGAUAUCCCCGACCGACCGCCCGGCGGUACACGCACGGUAUCGAGCCGCAAACUGACAUUGUCGAACUGCGUUCAGACCCGUCGCAAGCUCGCCAGGAACUUUGGUGUUGCGGACCUAUCGCCGUCCCCGAAGCCGGGCAGCUGUUGGCAGGCGGUGCUCUCGAACAGGCUCAGUAGCACUUUUGAACCUCGGUUCAUGCGAUACCGGUCGGCGACGCUAUUGCUUUGGGUACUUUCACGACCCGUCUUGAAACACGGACCAAGGAGUCUAACAUGUACGCGAGUCAUUGGGAUCAUUUGAAACCCAAAGGCGCAUUGAAAGAGAAGGUCGGCCCCCCACCGACCGAGGGAGGAUGGGCUGCGUCACGACGAGGCCCCGCACUCCCGGGGCGUCUCGUACUCAUCACGAGUUGAGGCGCACCCAGAGAGUACACGUUGGGACCCAAAAGAUGGUGAACUAUGCCUGGUCAGGACG
RNAcentral lists this ribosomal RNA (721 nucleotides) under Platygastoides sp. M279. RNAcentral's name for it is "eukaryotic LSU rRNA". The stretch from base 342 to 721 matches the Rfam family "Eukaryotic large subunit ribosomal RNA", at positions 1 to 848 of the family's 3401-position model. The record is from RNAcentral. Lineage: Eukaryota; Metazoa; Arthropoda; Insecta; Hymenoptera; Platygastridae.